CAAUAGCGUAUAUUAAAGUUGUUGCGGUUAAAAAGCUCGUAGUUGGAUUUCUGCCGAGGACGACCGGUCCGCCCUCCGGGUGAGUAUCUGGCUCGGCCUGGGCAUCUUCUUGGAGAACGUAGCUGCACUUGGCUGUGUGGUGCGGUAUUCAGGACUUUUACUUUGAGGAAAUUAGAGUGUUUCAAGCAGGCACACGCCUUGAAUACAUUAGCAUGGAAUAAUAAGAUAGGACCUCGGUUCUAUUUUGUUGGUUUCUAGAUCUGAGGUAAUGAUUAAUAGGGAUAGUUGGGGGCAUUCGUAUUUAACUGUCAGAGGUGAAAUUCUUGGAUUUGAUAAAGACGGACUACUGCGAAAGCAUUUGCCAAGGAUGUUUUCAUUGA
Molecule: ribosomal RNA, 380 nt
Filed under: uncultured eukaryote
Lineage: Eukaryota
Description: partial 18S ribosomal RNA
Rfam family: Eukaryotic small subunit ribosomal RNA
Source: RNAcentral